This 450-nucleotide ribosomal RNA is filed under the name uncultured bacterium. RNAcentral describes it as "partial 16S ribosomal RNA". It matches the Rfam family "Bacterial small subunit ribosomal RNA", at positions 354 to 796 of the family's 1533-position model. The record is from RNAcentral.
GUGGGGAAUAUUGGACAAUGGGCGAAAGCCUGAUCCAGCCAUGCCGCGUGUGUGAAGAAGGUCUUCGGAUUGUAAAGCACUUUAAGUUGGGAGGAAGGGCAGUAAGUUAAUACCUUGCUGUUUUGACGUUACCGACAGAAUAAACACCGGCUAACUUCGUGCCAGCAGCCGCGGUAAUACGAAGGGUGCAAGCGUUAAUCGGAAUUACUGGGCGUAAAGCGCGCGUAGGUGGUUUUGUAAGUUGGAGGUGAAAUCCCCGGGCUCAACCUGGGAACUGCCUCCAAAACUGCAUGACUAGAGUACGGUAGAGGGUAGUGGAAUUUCCUGUGUAGCGGUGAAAUGCGUAGAUAUAGGAAGGAACACCAGUGGCGAAGGCGACUACCUGGACUGAUACUGACACUGAGGUGCGAAAGCGUGGGGAGCAAACAGGAUUAGAUACCCUAGUAGUCC